This 75-nucleotide transfer RNA is filed under the name Thermoanaerobaculum aquaticum. Its description in RNAcentral is "tRNA-Asn". It matches the Rfam family "tRNA". From Rfam's summary of the family: Transfer RNA (tRNA) molecules are approximately 80 nucleotides in length. Their secondary structure includes four short double-helical elements and three loops (D, anti-codon, and T loops). Lineage: Bacteria; Pseudomonadati; Acidobacteriota; Thermoanaerobaculia; Thermoanaerobaculales; Thermoanaerobaculaceae. The record is from RNAcentral. RNAcentral also lists the same sequence under 5 other names.
UCCGCAGUAGCUCAACGGUAGAGCGUCCGGCUGUUAACCGGAGGGUUGGGGGUUCGAGUCCCUCCUGCGGAGCCA